AAAGUCGUAACAAGGUUUCCGUAGGUGAACCUGCGGAAGGAUCAUUAACACGUAUCCAACGUUAAAACCCCCCUGUGAACCUUUAUUGGAGCGUACGUCGCGUUAAUUACUCACAAUCCCUGGUAAAUCAUCGCCGAAGAAAAGUUUGAUUCAGGGACCGUAAGGGGAGAGGCGUACAUCACUCCGAAGGCAAGAUUAACCACCUGGCAUUCCUCUGCUUGUUAGUGUCUGAAAGUGUCACUAGCAUGAAACGAAUGACGCUGUAACGUUUGCUGGAGGCCGACACGGCCGGCAACCUCGGGUGACUGGUCCCCAUGUGGACCCCUAGUUCACCUUUGCAUGAAAACGGGCCUGCGCUUAAUUGUGCGGCCACCAAACUCGAACAACUGUUAACAAUGGAUAUCUUGGUUCUC
RNAcentral lists this unclassified non-coding RNA (413 nucleotides) under Ascomycota sp. RNAcentral describes it as "partial contains small subunit ribosomal RNA, internal transcribed spacer 1, and 5.8S ribosomal RNA". The stretch from base 1 to 47 matches the Rfam family "Eukaryotic small subunit ribosomal RNA", at positions 1785 to 1831 of the family's 1831-position model. The record is from RNAcentral. Lineage: Eukaryota; Fungi; Ascomycota.